RNAcentral lists this ribosomal RNA (489 nucleotides) under uncultured Gordonia sp. RNAcentral's name for it is "bacterial SSU rRNA". It matches the Rfam family "Bacterial small subunit ribosomal RNA", at positions 396 to 894 of the family's 1533-position model. Lineage: Bacteria; Bacillati; Actinomycetota; Actinomycetes; Mycobacteriales; Gordoniaceae. The record is from RNAcentral.
GCCGCGUGAGGGAUGACGGCCUUCGGGUUGUAAACCUUCUUUCGCCAGGGACGAAGCGUGAGUGACGGUACCUGGAGAAGAAGCACCGGCCAACUACGUGCCAGCAGCCGCGGUAAUACGUAGGGUGCGAGCGUUGUCCGGAAUUACUGGGCGUAAAGAGCUCGUAGGCGGUUUGUCGCGUCGUCUGUGAAAUCCUGCAACUCAAUUGCAGGCGUGCAGGCGAUACGGGCAGACUUGAGUACUACAGGGGAGACUGGAAUUCCUGGUGUAGCGGUGAAAUGCGCAGAUAUCAGGAGGAACACCGGUGGCGAAGGCGGGUCUCUGGGUAGUAACUGACGCUGAGGAGCGAAAGCGUGGGGAGCGAACAGGAUUAGAUACCCUGGUAGUCCACGCCGUAAACGGUGGGUACUAGGUGUGGGGUCCAUUUCACGGAUUCUGUGCCGUAGCUAACGCAUUAAGUACCCCGCCUGGGGAGUACGGCCGCAAGGC